This 2536-nucleotide long non-coding RNA is filed under the name Homo sapiens (human). RNAcentral describes it as "HSALNT0318233". Lineage: Eukaryota; Metazoa; Chordata; Mammalia; Primates; Hominidae. The record is from RNAcentral.
UGCAGUGAGCCGAGAUCAUGCCUGGGUGACAGAGCGAGACUCCGUCUCGAAAACAGAAAAACAAGAAACCAAAAAGCCCUACCUCAGUACCUCAGUCACCAAGAGCCCCAAGCAGAGUUACCGGAAGAUAGCUGACAUGUAUUAAAUGUUUGUGGAAUAAGGAAUACAUGAAGAAGUCUAUCAUUCAAUCAAAGAAAACUAAGUAUCAUUGGAGGUCUUUCCAUUUUGGGGUCCAGUGGGUGUCCUUUGAGUCAAGAGCAUGAUCUUCAAUAGACUUGGGGCCAGAAAUGUGACAUGUGUCUGAAUCCAAUCAGAUCCAGUUAAGAUCCACAAAUGCUAGUCACUGGAAUCUGCAGCCCUUGAAUUAAUUCUGUCCUUAGAUUUGAUAAGCCAAUGUCAGAUUUAUUGUUGUUAUUUAUUAUUCUGUCCCUCCAGGAUGACAUUAGGAACAUACUGUCAAGAAAAGGAUGAUGCGUGUGCUGCAAAAUGCAGGACAAUUCACUUUCCAGGUGGGGUCUGGGGCCUGUGGCUUCUCUGUGAACUUUCUUUGUGUGCUGUGGAAUAUUUUCCAGCUGCAGCCUAUUGUCCUGUGAUUAGACUCUGGGGCUCCACAGAAUCUUGAUGACUAGCAUUUGGAGGAACACACCUUGGGAAAUGGUGAUUCUGUCCAAACUUUUUGUGUUAUGGCUGUGAGAAAUAGACUUACAGAAGGAGAUGUCCGCCCCACAUCUCUAAACUCAUGGGUGGAAACUCAGACUAAGACGGCACCUAGAAUGUGGUCCAGCACAUUGAGAAUAGAGCAGAAGAUGAAAGCUGGAGGGGCUGAGGGGCCUUGGAGGCAGAGUUGGGCUCAACUUCUCAUUCCCUGGGACGAACUGUGCACAGUAGCCUCUGCUCCUCCUUCUUCAGUGAAGACUGCGAUGCCUGUGUUGGGGCUCAGAAACCGAUACCCCAAAAUAUGAUGCUUUGUACAUGCUGAACUGAAACAGGAGCUUUAAGCUCUUUCAGGCCUCCCCACAUCUUACCGUCUCUCCCAAAGUGUAGGAUUCUCUGAAAGUCUUUGUCUGCCUAAAGUCCAGACCUACCAAUGAAGAAAACAAUCACCUCCUGCCCUUUGUCUGAGUUUUCAUGAGCUGAACCCAUAUUGCAGGAAGGAAGGCUAAGAUCUGUCAACACACCUGGGCAGACUUUUGUCACAAACCAUUGUCUGCUCUGAGGACCCAAAAGAGCUUGUCCCAGAUAAUUGCCUGUUCUUUAAGGCUAUUAAAUUCUCCCUGGUAACCAUUUACUGUCCUUCAACGGAAGUCCUCUUCUUCCCCCUCCCAUGACCUGUAUGACCAGCUCCCAUGCCCCCAUUCUUUCUGUAACCUCAAGAUGGUUUAUAAACUUCUGCGCCUCAUUGAGGGGUUGGGUCUUCAUUCUGAGGGCUCCCGUGUCACCUAAAGCUAUGGUCAGAUACAUUUGUAUGUGUUUUCUCCAAUUAAUCUGCCUUUCGUGAGUUGAUUUAUCGUGAAACUUCAGAGGAUGAAGGAGAAAUUUUCCCUUUGCACCUAUGCCUGCCACCCUCACAGGCUGUGUGAAGGUCCUUCUUCAAAAAAUACUGGCUAUUCUUGGCACUGACCUGGCCUCGGCUUUCAGGAAGAGAGGGGAGGCAGGCUCCCUUUCCCAAGACAUGCUGGCAGCCUGAGAGUCAAGGCCAUGGGGUGUUCACAGAUGAGGCCCCCUGAUAUUUACAUGUCUUAGGGAUCAGAAGUGGGCACAGCUGGGGCAGAGCGAGGAAGUGCUAACACCCACCAGGCAUCUGCGAGGGGACGCCCACAUCAAGAAAACCUCAGCACAAGGUUGAGUGUUUCAGCAAACCUCGGGGAGAUUGCACAUUUACUCAUGAAGAGACCACAUGGUGAGGUCAGCCCCAAAACCAGGCCAAUGUCUCUCAAGCCCAACUAGUUUUCAAGACAAUGUCUUGCAACUUAUAGAGUUUGGGGGGAAGGCAGUGUGAAGUUCAGGGGGGAAGGCAGUGUGAAGGUGAGCAUAUCAGUAGCUACCCACCAUGCUGGCUAAUCACUGGGAAAUUCUUUUAUAAACAGCCACAGUCUCUCUCAAGUUUUCCAAAAUUAGAACCUCUCCAAAUUUAUUUUUUUCAAGGCUUCAGAAAUAUCCCAUAAAUCUUUGAAAACGAAAAUUUCUUCUCUCUCCUCAGUCCUCACCCAGGGCUUCUGAUGCUGCCAGUCAAUCCCAAGUCAUGCUUGGUGUUUGGGGACCACGGCAGUGCAAAACCUCUGAGGGCCUGGGGAGAAGGAAUACCUGCAAGACUAAGAAUAAUGAAGGGAUAUAACAGAGGAUAGCCUCACUAUGCUCCUACUCCAGAAAAUUGGAUUAUUGUCUGCAAAGAUUCCUCAGUCUUGUGGACACUGAUGAAAUAUUGUAGACUGGAAUUGAAUCUGGCUUGUUGUCUGUUUGUUUAUUCCUGAGCCUGAUAAUUUAUUUGAACAACUUUGCCUUUCUAUAGUACAUGAUGAUCGGCAAGUUACUAUGA